GGCUGGGUUGCCCUCUGACACGACCCUGACAAAUGAGAAGGGAACCACCACGUAGGCCAAAUAGCUCAGAUUAAGGUUAUGAGUCUGUCAGGAGAGUGGAAGUUCUGCUAAGAGAUAAUGAGUACUUGCAAUCGAGAGGGAGGUCGCUGUGCAGAGAUG
Long non-coding RNA from Micropterus salmoides (largemouth bass), 159 nucleotides. RefSeq lists it as uncharacterized. The transcript is spliced from 3 exons. The record is from RefSeq and is a predicted model, not a curated record. NCBI's taxonomy places the organism in Eukaryota, Metazoa, Chordata, Actinopteri, Centrarchiformes, Centrarchidae.